Molecule: long non-coding RNA, 1839 nt
Organism: Oreochromis niloticus (Nile tilapia)
Lineage: Eukaryota; Metazoa; Chordata; Actinopteri; Cichliformes; Cichlidae
Source: Ensembl
CUUCGGUGAAGUCUGCUGUCAAGUUACUGGACACGUGGUAUUUGCACAACACUUCUGAAUCCGCAGCUUCGGUGUUUUAAGGCUGUUUCGAUAUGGAGAAGAAGUGGGAAGAGAUUUACGCGUUUAUUUCUGCUGGCUCCUACCCUUCAGGAUAUGACAAGGCUCAAAGGCAAAACCUCAGAAGAUAUGCCUCAAAAUUCAAACAAAAGGAUGGAGAACUCUUUGUUGGAACCAGAAGAGUAGUAAAAACCAUGGAUGAUGCCAGGAAGAUAUUUCAUGAGUUUCAUUCAUCUCCAAUUGGAGGACACACUGGCAUACACAAAACGCUCAGUGCAGUGUGUUCCAGAUUUUACUGGUUUGGUAUGACAGUUGACAUUAAAACAUGGGUAUGUAUUAACUGUUUGCAUUGUUGUUAAAUGCCGUUUAAAAUAAGCAAUUUUUUUUUAUAUUAGUUAAAAGAGAAACUGUACAUUUGCAAAAUAUAAAUAAAUAUGGUUAAUUAGUGAUAUUACAGUAUUAACCUGUAGGCCUGGCAGAGAUUUGAAGACACACACAAAGUAUUGUUGCUAAAUUGUUUGUUCGUUAGAGAAUAUGUCAUUAAGUGAUUUUUUUUUUUAUUAUUAUUAUUAUUUUAAUAAAUGAGAAUGUUGAACAUUUACGUGAACUCCAUAAAUUUUUUUACCUUAAAGAUUCUGGAAUGUGAUCAGUGUCAAAAAGUUGGGAAACCACUGACUGCUGUGCAACCGUUGCAGUGUAUUCAGGUGUCUGAAGUGUGGGAACUUAUUGGUAUAGAUCUUACUGGACCUCUUCCUAAAACGUCAAGCGGCUUCCAGUAUAUACUUACUGCAACUGACUACUUUUCAAAAUGGGUUGAAGCUUUCCCAUUAAAAACGAAAUCUGCAUCUGAGGUAGCCCAGCACUUGUGCUCCAUUAUAUAUAGACAUGGCUGCCCCAAAAGGAUUUUGUCAGACCAAGGCAGAGAGUUUGUGAAUGAAGUAAGUGUUAAAUAAUUUUCAGUUACAUUUUUUAACUUUACUUCACUGGGGUCAAAGAUUUUUUUCUUGUGUGCUUGUAUAAGAAGUAUAAGAACCUUGUCCUUAUCUGUUGAAGCUCAACUCUAAUCUUUGCAAGUUAUUGCAAACUGAAAGAAGUGUCACAGCAGCAUACCAUCCACAGACCAAUGGUCUAGAUGAAAAGACCAAUGACAACAUAAAAAGGUAUGCCUAAUUUUUAUCUAUCAGUUUUUAAUAACAUUACUUAUGUUAUUCAAACUUAAUUGUUACUUAAUAAUUUAUUAAUUUCUUUACUUCUAAUUAAACUUUCAUUAGUGUCUUUACAUAUUUCUAUGCCUGCAUUUAGAGCCCUCCGAAAACUGGUGAAUGACCAGCAGAAUAACUGGGAUCUGUAUCUAGAUCCCACCCUGUUUUCACUGCGGUCAAAAGUACAUACCACAACAUUUUACUCACCUUUUUUUCUGAUGUAUGGAAGAGAGGCAGUAUUUCCAUCAGAAGUGCCUGCUCAAGUGCCGGUGAGUGUUUGUCAAAUUCUUUCUAUGUUAGAACUAAGAAUUGAAACCAUUUAAGUAAAAAACCCAGUAAUGUCUUUAUGAAUAUGAUAUCAUCUUGUUUUAAUUGCUGAUAUCUACAAAAUUUUAGAUUUCCAACAUCAUUCUGCCAGACGACAAAAGGUACAGUGACUAUGUACAGUCUGAAAGUGAAGCACAACAUGCAGUUAAAGAAACUGCACAAGAAAACAUUGCGAAGUCACAAGACAAGCAAAAGGUUGCAUACGCCGAGCGGGUCCUGAAAAAGUGCAAAAAUGUUGUGUACAAUGUAGGCG